GGGCGCAUAGCUCAGUUGGUUAGAGCACCGGCUUUACAAGCCGGGUGUCGGGGGUUCGAGACCCUCUGCGCCCA
Molecule: transfer RNA, 74 nt
Filed under: Ilumatobacteraceae bacterium
Lineage: Bacteria; Bacillati; Actinomycetota; Acidimicrobiia; Acidimicrobiales; Ilumatobacteraceae
Description: tRNA-Val
Rfam family: tRNA
About the family: Transfer RNA (tRNA) molecules are approximately 80 nucleotides in length. Their secondary structure includes four short double-helical elements and three loops (D, anti-codon, and T loops).
Source: RNAcentral